This is a non-coding RNA of Tinamus guttatus (white-throated tinamou), 142 nucleotides long. Lineage: Eukaryota; Metazoa; Chordata; Aves; Tinamiformes; Tinamidae. The record is from RefSeq and is a predicted model, not a curated record.
CGGAUGAGUGUAUCCAGCUGCUGGGCGGGAUGGGCUUCAUGCAGGAGGCCGGAGUGGAGCGGGUCAUGCGGGACCUGCGGGUUUUCCGCAUCUUCGAGGGCACCAACGACAUCCUGAGGCUCUUUGUGGCCCUCAGCGGCUU